Molecule: ribosomal RNA, 465 nt
Filed under: uncultured Klebsiella sp.
Lineage: Bacteria; Pseudomonadati; Pseudomonadota; Gammaproteobacteria; Enterobacterales; Enterobacteriaceae
Description: bacterial SSU rRNA
Rfam family: Bacterial small subunit ribosomal RNA
Source: RNAcentral
CCUACGGGGGGCUGCAGUGGGGAAUAUUGCACAAUGGGCGCAAGCCUGAUGCAGCCAUGCCGUGUGUGUGAAGAAGGCCUUCGGGUUGUAAAGCACUUUCAGCGGGGAGGAAGGCGGUGAGGUUAAUAACCUCAUCGAUUGACGUUACCCGCAGAAGAAGCACCGGCUAACUCCGUGCCAGCAGCCGCGGUAAUACGGAGGGUGCAAGCGUUAAUCGGAAUUACUGGGCGUAAAGCGCACGCAGGCGGUCUGUCAAGUCGGAUGUGAAAUCCCCGGGCUCAACCUGGGAACUGCAUUCGAAACUGGCAGGCUAGAGUCUUGUAGAGGGGGGUAGAAUUCCAGGUGUAGCGGUGAAAUGCGUAGAGAUCUGGAGGAAUACCGGUGGCGAAGGCGGCCCCCUGGACAAAGACUGACGCUCAGGUGCGAAAGCGUGGGGAGCAAACAGGAUUAGAUACCCGUGUAGUC